This 463-nucleotide ribosomal RNA is filed under the name uncultured bacterium. RNAcentral describes it as "partial 16S ribosomal RNA". It matches the Rfam family "Bacterial small subunit ribosomal RNA", at positions 28 to 507 of the family's 1533-position model. The record is from RNAcentral.
GACGAACGCUGGCGGCGUGCUUAACACAUGCAAGUCGAACGGAAAGGCCUUUUCGGAGGUACUCGAGUGGCGAACGGGUGAGUAACACGUUGGUGAUCUGCCCUGCACUCUGGGAUAAGCCUGGGAAACUGGGUCUAAUACCGGAUAGGACCGCACUUUAGUGUGUGUGGUGGAAAGUUUUUUCGGUGUAGGAUGAGCCCGCGGCCUAUCAGCUUGUUGGUGGGGUAAUGGCCUACCAAGGCGGCGACGGGUAGCCGGACUGAGAGGUUGGUCGGCCACAAUGGGACUGAGAGACGGCCCAGACUCCUACGGGAGGCAGAAGUGGGGAAUAUUGCACAAUGGGCGCAAGCCUGAUGCAGCGACGCCGCGUGGGGGAGGACGGCCUUCGGGUUGUAAACUCCUUUCGCCAGGGACGAAGCGUUUUGUGACGGUACCUGGAGAAGAAGCACCGGCUAACUACGUG